AGAGUUUGAUCCUGGCUCAGAUUGAACGCUGGCGGCAUGCCUAACACAUGCAAGUCGAACGGAAACGAUGGAAGCUUGCUUCCAGGCGUCGAGUGGCGGACGGGUGGGUAAUACUUAGGAAUCUGCCCAGUAGUGGGGGACAACUCGAGGAAACUCGAGCUAAUACCGCAUACGCCCUACGGGGGAAAGCGGAGGACUCUUCGGAGCUUCGCGCUAUUGGAUGAGCCUAAGUCGGAUUAGCUUGUUGGUGAGGUAAAAGCUCACCAAGGCGACGAUCCGUAGCUGGUCUGAGAGGACGAUCAGCCACACUGGGACUGAGACACGGCCCAGACUCCUACGGGAGGCAGCAGUGGGGAAUAUUGGACAAUGGGGGCAACCCUGAUCCAGCAAUGCCGCGUGUGUGAAGAAGGCCUGCGGGUUGUAAAGCACUUUCAGUAGAGAAGAAAAGCCUACGGUUAAUACCCGUGGGUCUUGACGUAACCUACAGAAGAAGCUCCGGCUAACUCCGUGCCAGCAGCCGCGGUAAUACGGAGGGAGCGAGCGUUAAUCGGAAUUACUGGGCGUAAAGCGCGCGUAGGCGGCUUUGUAAGUCGGAUGUGAAAGCCCCGGGCUCAACCCGGGAAUUGCAUUCGAUACUGCAGAACUAGAGUAUGGUAGAGGGAAGUGGAAUUUCCGGUGUAGCGGUGAAAUGCGUAGAUA
Molecule: ribosomal RNA, 699 nt
Filed under: uncultured bacterium
Lineage: Bacteria
Description: bacterial SSU rRNA
Rfam family: Bacterial small subunit ribosomal RNA
Source: RNAcentral